UAAGCUUGAUAAUGGGCACGGUCCUGUGAA
RNAcentral lists this non-coding RNA (30 nucleotides) under Mus musculus (house mouse). Lineage: Eukaryota; Metazoa; Chordata; Mammalia; Rodentia; Muridae. The record is from RNAcentral.